This 497-nucleotide ribosomal RNA is filed under the name uncultured bacterium. RNAcentral describes it as "partial 16S ribosomal RNA". It matches the Rfam family "Bacterial small subunit ribosomal RNA", at positions 28 to 507 of the family's 1533-position model. The record is from RNAcentral.
GAUGAACGCUGGCGGCGUGCCUAAUACAUGCAAGUCGAGCGAACAGACGAGGAGCUUGCUCCUCUGACGUUAGCGGCGGACGGGUGAGUAACACGUGGAUAACCUACCUAUAAGACUGGGAUAACUUCGGGAAACCGGAGCUAAUACCGGAUAAUAUAUUGAACCGCAUGGUUCAAUAGUGAAAGACGGUUUUGCUGUCACUUAUAGAUGGAUCCGCGCCGCAUUAGCUAGUUGGUAAGGUAACGGCUUACCAAGGAAACGAUGCGUAGCCGACCUGAGAGGGGGAUCGGCCACACUGGAACUGAGACACGGUCCAGACUCCUACGGGGGGCAGCAGUAGGGAAUCUUCCGCAAUGGGCGAAAGCCUGACGGAGCAACGCCGCGUGAGUGAUGAAGGUCUUCGGAUCGUAAAACUCUGUUAUUAGGGAAGAACAAAUGUGUAAGUAACUAUGCACGUCUUGACGGUACCUAAUCAGAAAGCCACGGCUAACUACGUG